GGCGGCUUUUCAAUAGAUCAUAUCGUUUUGUAUCUCCCUUGGUGGCUAAUGAGAGGGAUAAAAUCCACAAGUUUCAACAAGGAUUAAGAGAUGAACUCCGUGAUAUGUUAGUGGUUACCUUAUUUACUGAGUUCAGUCAAGUAUUUUUGGCCGCCAUGAAGUAUGAGGAUAGGCUUUUGGAAUGUGUACAACCAUUGGAGGUGGGUUUCCCCAGCCAGAGUCUUUCCGAGAAGGCUAGUACUAGUUCGAGUUCCGCGGCUUUAAUAUGCACUAGAUCUGAAAAUUCAAGACCCGGCGCACUAAAAAGAAGACGUCGGGGUCGGAAGCGGAGAUUUAUCAAGCGCAAUAUGAAAAAGACCAAUCAGUCUGGGGAGAGUGUUGGCGGUAAUAGUAGAGCUCCUGUUCAGGGAGGCCGUCCACAGUGUCAGAGAUGUGGCAGAUACCAUGAUGGACAGUGCCAAGUAGGACUAGAAAUGAUAGGGAGUUCGGUAUGUUAUCAGUGUGGCCGCCAUGGUCACUACUUGAGGCAGUGCCCUCAACUGGCCUAGGAGCUACUUCAGUGCUGAUCAGAGUGCAUAAGUUAGGCGUCCAGCAGUGACACACAAUACUAGUACAACAUUCCAUGGUUCACAACAAGGCAGAGGGCUGUCUAUGACUCGGAUUAAUUUUGUGAACUAUUAAAUUUAGUAACUAAUUCCAUUGACCGUCACUAGUACCUAAUCCUGUUCAUGAAUCAUGUUUUCCGUUUAUCUUAUUUCGUCAUAUUUAUGUUACAGAAAAAUUCAGCAUCGAUGCUUACAUUUUGGUGCCAAGGUCAAGUUGAUACUCAUACUCGCAACUCUACGAAUAUGAUACUAAACUCAUAUUUUGAUAUUUACAUGAUUCGUUUGUCUAACUUUCGUUGACGUUCUGUUAAAAUGACGAAAGAAACUUUGCUUAGAUCUACAUUUUAAGGGUUCAGGGCCUUUCUAUUGAGGGAUCUCUAUUUUUUGUCAUUUUUAGGGAUAAGCUCACACCAUUAGAUUUGUUAUUUAAUGAGGUUGGAUGGUUGAGAUUAAAACAAAACGUUACACACUUUAUGUCAAACUUUGACCAUUCAUGAUCAUUAAAAAUAAAUCGAAGUUUUGAAUGGGUUACCGAUCACUAAAUUAUCUGAAAAUUUGUAGAAAUGAUCUACUCAUAUAACCCAAUGAAUUGAACAGUGUAGAUGCAAAAAUUUGAUCAGGAAGUUGGUGUAAUGCCCUAUCCCUAGAAAUAGUUAAAAAUAGAGAUCCCUCAAUAGAAAGGCUCUCUUUAAGGGUUAAUAACAGAAAACUUCGACUUACAAAUAAUUCUUUUUAUCAUUAAAUUUACAUCUACGAGUGUUUGAGCAUGAAAUUAUUAGUCAGUAACUCAAUAGGUGAACUUGGGUGCUCACCUGAUAAUGCAGGAGUUUAGUGUUGCACACAGGGGCGAUGUAGGAGGCUAUAUGGGCUAUAGCCUAGACAAGUUUUGGGCCAAAAAAAUCCCAACUGAUUUAAAUCUAUUUGUCAUCAGCCCAUACCAUAGUAGCUUAAACCCUUGAUUUUUUUUGGUCGUGAAAAUAGAAUGAAACCGCUUAAACCCUUGUUGAAUCCUCGAAUGAAAACUAAACCGAAUCAAGAAUGGCCACUUCAACUGUUGCCAGAUCCAUUUUCCGUUUAUGCGCCGGCCGAAGUUGCGCCUCUAAAGCAUAAGCUGCUCACUCAGCGUUUCACAUCGGAGCCAAGAAACCUACAUCAUGUCUAGCUCUCAGGUGAUCAAGCAAAGAUUAGAGCAUGUUUUGUAUUAGCAUUCAUAGAUUUUGUGAAAUUGGAUUUGAGUUGUGGUGGUUGUUGUUGUAGGUGUCCGGUUGAAUUGAGCUUCUGUGUGGAAUCAAUGCUGCCUUACCACACUGCCACUGCUACGGCUUUAAUGACUUCCAUGCUUUCGGUCACUCAACGCAGUCACGGUUGGCUUCCAGAGACUAUUAUGAUGCAACUGUGAAUUAAGUAAAUUAAGCAUUCCUUUCUUUUGUUUCAAUAGGACAAUGCAAGGUUUUCUGUAUGGUUUGAACCCAAGUUCGAAAUCGAACCGUGUACAUAACAUAAAAUUCCUCUGUCUUAUUUUCCUUGGUAAAACUAUCAAAGGACCAUGGACUGGACAAAUGGGACCACUUCUUAUCCAAAUGGGACAAAUGGGACCAUGGAUGUAUAAAACUAGCUACUUCCUUAACUGUUAAAUAUUGUUCUUGAUUCUCAUGCUGCUAGGAUAUUCUGAGAUUUGCAUAUUUUGAGUGUCAAGCAGUCUUGUGUCAUUAUGUUCAUCAAAGACUUACUUGUGUGUGUUAGAUGCCUAACCCAUGGAGUUUCAUUCUUUGAAUCAAGUAUCUAGCAAACAUUUGUAGGGUUUCUUGAUGGCAUUGCCUUCUAACUUUCUGGUAAGAACAUUUGAAUGUUUCUUGAUAUCGUUGCCUGCCUUCUACUUUUCAUGUAAGGUAGUGGAUAUUAUGUUGGGUGUGAGAUGUCUGAUAUUUUUGGAUUAGAAUUGUGAGCUCCUAGUCAUAUGACAUGCAUUUCUUCUUUGCCUUCGUAUGAAUUUGUUAGGUACUGAUAACUGAAGCUGGCUGAAAUUUAUGCCCUUUCUCUCUAGAAUUACUGGUUCACUUUCCUUUUUAAUGACCAAGUGAAUUUGAUGAAAAGAGUAGCAAAUUGACAGAUUUAAUAGUUAGAGUAACAAAUUAGUUGAUUAUGAAAAACUAGGGUAACAAAUUAGCUGAUUAUGAAAAGCUAAGGUAACAAAUUAGCUAAAAUGAAAGUUAGGAUAACAAAUUAACAAUUAUGCCAUUAUAUUUUUAUGAGAGUUGUAUGGUUUAGAGAUUGGAUUGUCUCUUUGAUUUUCUUACUCACACGGGUUAGUCUUCUCUGUAACUGUUUGUCCUUACUAGGGCUGGGCACAAAUCCCGUAAAUCCCGGUCCCGUCCCGGUCCCAUCCCGAUCCCGGCGGGAUUUGAAACUAAAAACACCGGUCCCGUCCUGUCCCGUCCCAUUAGAGAAACAAUGGGACGGGACGCGGGAUUGAAAUUUUGAGUCCCGUCAGACCCGUCCCGUCCCGUCUAACUUUUAAAAUUCAUAACUAAUUGUAGAAAAAUUAUUUUUGAGAGAUCCCAACUCUCAAAUGAUCUUUAAGAUGUCAUCUAUAACUUUCAUGAAGACACUAAACUCAUAUAACGAACCAAUUUGUACAGUUUUCGAAAAGAAGCCAACUGGUUCAAAUCUCAGAAUUUACUGAUAUAGACCCUAAAAUUUAAGAAACCAUAACUUAAUCUAGAAAAAUAGUUUUCACGUGAUUCAAAUUCUGGAAUGAACCUUAAGAUGUCUACUACAAAUCUUAUGAAGACACCAAGAUGAAGUUUCAAAUGCAACUGUAUGAUUUCCAGAAGAAACGAAACUGAUGCAGGAUGGCUGGGAUUGGGCUCGUCCCGUCUAACUUUCAAAAUUCAUAACUAAUUGUAGAAAACUUAUUUUUGAGAGAUUCCAACUCUCAAAUAAUCUUUAGGAUGUCUUCUUUAACUUUCAUGAGAACACUAAACUCACAUAACCAACCAAUUUCUACAGUUUUUGAAAAGAAGCCAACUGGUUCAAAAUCACAGAAUUGACAUGCAGAAUUUAUAGAUGCAGACCCUAAACUUAAAAAAAUCAUAACUUAAUCUAGAAAAAUCAUUUUCAAGUGAUUCAAAUUCUGGAAUGGACAUUAAGAUGUCUACUACAAAUCUUAUGAAGACACCUAGAUGAAAUUUCAAAUGUAACUGUACGAUUUCUAGAAGAAAAGAAACUGAUGCAGGAUGGCCGGGAUUGGGCCCGUCCCAUCCCGAUCCCGUCCCGUCCCAUUCGGGACUAGGCCCGGCGGGAUCAAGUCUGAAAAAUAUAAGGCCCGUCCCGAUCCCGUCCCAUGUGUAACAAACGGGACAGGACGUGGGAUGACCUCAAUCCCGUCCCGUCCCAUGCCCACCCCUAGUCCUUGCUACCAAUUUUAUCUCGUAUUUGAAUAGACAAAUCAACUCAUCAAAAAUAUCAAUUUCUUCUUCAGUCAUACAAGUCCAGAAUUUAAAAGACGCUCCACUUUUUCCGGAGCAGCAUACCGAAGCCUAGGUUCCCUUAGGUUUUGUGCAGCAUGGUGGCGGUGGCUCAACGGGUCAUCUGUUUGCUACAAGGCGUGUUCGGCACUGGGUCUUGUCGGCAAGAGGAGGAGGAGGUGGAGUUUGAUUAUAUCAGUUCUUUGGCUUUCCGGUUGGGGACGUGGGAGGCGACGUUGGUCUUUCUCGGUUUUGUUUUGCAGGAAAGAGCGCGGCGGCGGCAAGCAAAGGGUUAAUUGCAAAGGCAAGGAAGGUUGCUGCUUCAGGGUUUAGGUCUUUGAUCUACAGCGGCUUAGAAGCUGUGAAAGAGGGUGGAGGAAGAAGGUCUGUGUCUUAGUGGUAAUUGGAUCCGACUCGGCAGCCUUUUGUGGUGGUCAUCUAGGGUUCAUGAUAUCACCGCCUCAAAGGAUCCGGUGGCCAGCGGCUCUGACGUCUAUUCGUCUCAGGGCUAGGUUGACUGGGUUAGAGGAGAGGUUGGUUGGGCUUUGGGCCUUGUCUCACUGGGCUGCAUUUGUGUGGGCUGGUGUGAUGGGGCUUGGGGCCUUAAUUAACUUUCUCAUUCUUUCCUCAUGUGAUUGGGUCUAGCUUGUGAUUGGUUUUUGUGGGAGUCACAUCUCUAUCUUAUACGGCUGUUUAGAUUGAAGCUAUUUACUGAUUGGAUGGAGUGGAAAUGUACACCAAUGGAGGUCUUAGGCGUCAUACUCUUCAGGAUGGAUGCUUUGCCCUACAACAAUAUAGGAGUCGAGGUUUUUCUGUUUUCAUGUGUCCGUCUUUUUGGACUUUAGUUUUAGUAGUCUUUAUGUUUAUUUUUUUGAUGUAGCUUUGAAGUUGUUCUUUCAAUUCGUAGUUUUGAAUUAAGUUAUAUUUUGUGUUUGAGUAGUCCUUGGAUUACUCGUGCAUUGACAUUUUUUGGUCGUUAUAGGCUGUAAGCCUAAUGGAUUUAGUUCCAUUUCCCUAAAAUAAAAAAAAAAUAAAAAAAUCAACUCAUCAAAAUUGCAAAUUAAACUGCGGGCUCAUAGUAGAAAACAGACGGCCCAAAAUAGCAAAGCCUCAGCCAAGAAAUUUGCUGCUCGUUUACUAUUUACUAUUUACCUUUUCUUUUUUAAGUUAUACUAUAUAAAACGAAAGAUUGCUGGGACCAUUUUACCCUCGCUGGCUCUUGCUUGCCACCUGUUUCUUCCGCCUAGCCGCCACCGCUGAAGGCACAAACAGAGAAAUUAAAAGGAGUCCUCUUGGUCUGAUCGCUCUGUUUCUCUUCACUUUCUUAUAUUGGGUUCAUCAAAGGCAGGUGUUUUUGGGUUUCUGUGUUUGUGUUUUUGGUUUUCUUAAUUCAUGCUCUUCUAAUUCAAUUGUAUUUGUGUUUUGAUAUUACCAAUAUAAUCAGUUGGAGUUGCAACUGCUAGAGUUGAAUCAAAUUUCUGCUCAUGGGUUUCUACUUUGUGUACUGUGCAUGAUAUGUUUGUUGGUUAUUACUGUCUGUUUCCUUGGUCCAAUCAAGACGUGAUUAGUGGCAUUCAAUAUUAGUAUGAACUAGAACAUAAAUUUGAUUUAUUGCCAGUAUGAGGUUAAGGGAUCUGUAGAGAGAAGUCAUAGUUAAGGCAUCACCCUGGACUGUUAUUCUCUCGGCGUCAUGAGAAUCUCUAGCACCAGUCACCAAAGUUAUAUGCAUCUGAUUUCUCUGAAAGCACACCUCUAUUUGCAUACUCAGGUAAAAAGUUUUCCCUACAUUAUGGAUAUUGUCAUUAUUAGAUCAAGAAACAUUUGACACAAGUGAAAUGUAGGGAUGAAUGUUAUGUUUCAUCAAAUAAACCUUACUCAUAUUUUGGAUGUUUCAUCAAAUAAACCUUUUUGGCAACGGCUUUGCUGUUAGUUGCUGUAUUGCUCAUGAAUUGUCUGGCCAAACCAAAAUCUGAGAUAUUGGGAAUCAUGUCUUCAUCUAGCAAAAUGUUGCUUGCUGAUAGGUCUCAGUAUAUAAUUCUUAGUCAAGAAUCUCGGUGGAGGUAGAGAACCACGUGCAAUGGCCUUGAUAAUCAUGAAACAUGUACUCCAAUCUAGUAGGACUUGCUUCCUUGGGUCUGUCAUUUCAUGAAAAGCGAGAUGUUUAGAAAAAGUAAUUCACAUGGCAUAUAAAUUUGAACUAGUUGUAUUGACAAUAGAACCACAUACCGAAAAGAAAUGAAUUCAAGCUCUUAUUUGGCAUGAAUUCAUAAAGCAACAUCUUUCCUUCGCCGUGUAUGCAGUAACCUAAUAGUCUAACUGGAUUCCUGUGUUGUAAUUUUGCAAUCAGACAGAUCUCAUUAUUGAACUCCUCCAAGCCUUAGUAUGACCCUUUUGAAAGUCUCUUCACAGCUACUUCUUCUUGCCAGAAGCUCAAGGGUUUUGCUAACCAGUGUGAAGUUGAGUUCUAUGUUUCUUUUUGUUCUUCUUCUAGAUUGCUAUGAAUUACCAACGUUUGUGCUAUUUAUAAUUAGUUGAGAAGCUUUUGAUGUAUGUGGGGAGACCCUUUUAUUUGUAGCUGUGGGAAUUUGUCAUUUUUGGGGAGCAUGUAAAAUAUUGGAUAUUAUGCUUCAGAGGUUUUUUGGUUGUCCAGUUUAGGGGUAUUUAUGUCAGUUGUAUGGUGAAAUUUCUCUUAAAGGUACCCUUUACAACGUCACGUUAGAUUUUAGAGUUAAUUUGGGGCUGGUGAUGUUAACAUGGUAUCACAGCAUUAUGUUUAUUAAUUUCAUGGACUCAAUUUGUUUAAAAUUUUUGUUGGUUUUUAUGCUCUGUAAUAAUCAAUACUCACUCUUGAGAUGACCCGGCCGCAUUGGUUCCCCAUCAUAUACUCUUUGGUGUUGGUAUAGUUAUCAUGUGUGUAAGGAUGAUAGACAUGUAGAUGCUUAACUUUUGUGUGUUUUUCCCCUAAGUUGCCUAAGUUUUGUUUUCUCUCAGGUUCUACCUCGUAGAUGUUGACCUUGUUAGGAUACUCCUCUUGUAGUCGAGGUCACAAGUAACUACAUCUCAGUUGGUUUGCCUAAAGCAGCAGGUUCUAGAGUGUAUGUCGCUACAUUCAGGCAUUUGUUCUGAUUACAGUAUGGAGGAUGUCAAAUGGCUCAGAGCUGAGACUUAUGGCAUUGAUCCUGCUGUGGCUGAAAGUGUGAUCCCCGGACUUGAGUUUGAGUCCUUCAAUUUGAGGCAGGGUGACAUGACAGUGUUGGAAUAUGGGCGGCUUUUCAAUAGAUCAUAUCAUUUUGCAUCUCCCUUGGUGGCUAAUGAGAGGGAUAAAAUCCACAAGUUUCUACAAGGAUUAAGACAUGAACUCCGUGAUAUGUUAGUGGUUACCUUAUUUACUGAGUUCAGUCAAGUAUUUUUGGCCGCCAUGAAAUAUGAGGAUAGGCUUUUGGAAUGUGUACAACCAUUGGAGGUGGGUAGCCAGGGUCCUUCCGAGAAGGCUAGUACUAGUUCGAGUUCCGCAGCUUUAACAUGCAUUAGACCUGAAAAUUCAAGACCUGGCUCACUAAAAAGAAGACGUGAGCGGAGGCGGAGCAUUCUGAAGCGCCAUAAGAAAAAGACCAAUCAGUCUGGGGGCAGUGUUGCAAGUUCCGCGGCUUUAACAUGCAUUAGACCUGAAAAUUCAAGACCCGGCUCACUAAAAAGAGGACGUGAGCGGAGGUGGAGCAUUCUGAACCGCCGUAAGAAAAAGACCAAUCAGUCUGGGGGCAGUGUUGGCGGUAAUAGUAGAGCUCCUGUUCAGGGAGACCGUCCACAGUGUCAGAGAUGUAGCAGAUACCAUGAUGGACAGUGCCAAGUGGGACUACAAAU
This 7933-nucleotide long non-coding RNA is filed under the name Fragaria vesca (wild strawberry). RNAcentral's name for it is "long non-coding RNA (FVES_LNC001623)". The record is from RNAcentral. Lineage: Eukaryota; Viridiplantae; Streptophyta; Magnoliopsida; Rosales; Rosaceae.